ACUCUGGUUGAUCCUGCCAGAGGCUACUGCUAUCGGGGUCCGACUAAGCCAUGCGAGUUGAGAGGGGUAAGCCCUCGGCAUAUUGCUCAGUAACACGCGGAUAACCUGCCCUUGGGUUCGGGAUAACCCCGGGAAA
This 136-nucleotide ribosomal RNA is filed under the name Candidatus Methanoperedens sp. Its description in RNAcentral is "partial 16S ribosomal RNA". It matches the Rfam family "Archaeal small subunit ribosomal RNA", at positions 1 to 139 of the family's 1478-position model. The record is from RNAcentral. Lineage: Archaea; Methanobacteriati; Methanobacteriota; Methanomicrobia; Methanosarcinales; Candidatus Methanoperedentaceae.